GACUCCGGAUUGGAUGGUUUUAGUGAGGCCUUCUGACUGGCGCCGCUACUCUGGCAACAGAGCGGCGGAUGCCGGGAAGUUGGUCAAACUUGAUCAUUUAGAGGAAGUAAAAGUCGUAACAAGGUUUCCGUAGGUGAACCUGCGGAAGGAUCAUUACCGAUGUGAAAGAAUCCAAGGUUAAACAUCAUUAACCAGUGUGAACUGUGAAACAACUCUUUAGGGGUCGGCACAGGCGUGUGUCGUUAAAUGGCGGAUAGGUUCCUUCCGCCAGCCCCGCCAUUGUGUUUAUGAUAUCACUUUGAACGUUAAAGACUGAGAACUAUGGUUUCAGGCUUUAAUGGUUGAAAAAAAAAGGAAAAAAAAAGGAAAAAAAAUUUUGGACGGGGAAUCCCUGGGUUCACGUAUCGUUAAAAAAGCCACCCGCUUGCAAUUGGUAUGGGGAUUUGCAAAAUUCAUGGAACCUUUGAUCCUUUAACCCCAAAGGGGCUUCUGGGUUUCCCCCAGGACCUGGCCGGCCUAAUGGCCGAAUUUUAUCAAAGGCCUCCGGGAGUGCGGAAUUGAGGGGCCCCGGCGGGUUACCAACCAGCUUUACAUCCAUUAGUCCCUUGUGUCCCUUGAACGAUGGACUCAUUGUACUCAUUGUCUCUAUUGAAACUUGAGUGCGAAUGAUAUUUACCUUAUUUCCCUUCUGCCAUACAUGCAAUAACAUACACUCAAUCCAAUGACAGACGUGACAGAUCAUAUCCAUGACCUCUUGACCUCAAAGCUACCCGGGCUACUUGCUGAUAUUAAUCAUAUUAGGAAAAGAAACAAAAGAAACUUCCCUGGAUUCCCUUAAUAACAGCGAGUGUAGCUCAAAUAUCUCAUCUUCGAAAUCUCCGACGCUUGAGUCGGCUAUUGUAAUGCUAUAAAACUUUAUAGGCGUGCCUACGUGCUUGGAUGCUUGGUCAAUACGUCGACACGCGACAGCGCGUCUGUGGCCGGUCGGAUGUUCUUAUGUGAUUCGAUAGUUGGGAGUUGGCCAAGCCACCAAGCAACCGG
The sequence is a ribosomal RNA, 1041 nucleotides long. The stretch from base 1 to 156 matches the Rfam family "Eukaryotic small subunit ribosomal RNA", at positions 1680 to 1831 of the family's 1831-position model.